AUUUGUACAUGUCAAAUAUUUGUUGUUUCUAAAUUCAAAUUCUGUAAAUAAUGAUUGACAUUUAUGCAUAAACUAUGAAAAGGGUGAAUAAACAAUUGUCUGUAUUUUUUUUAAUCUAUUGAAAAUGUUGAAAAGUGCAUUAAGCAUUAAUAGAAAUUCCUCAAAUAUGAAUUAUGCGUGCGUUCAGAAAUAAUGACAAAUUAUCAACAGUUACGCGUGUGUUCAGAAAUUUAUUUUGUGUGUAAGUUUCUAUUCACGUUUUCGAACAAACGAUGCUCUUUCAAUAUAGUCUAUUGGUGUGAAUGACAUUGACAUUCGUAUUGCGCGUUUUUUAAAAUAUUAUUAUGCAAAAUUAAAUGUAUAUUUUUCAAUAUUUCUGAGAGAUUAUCAUAAUAUUUCUUCGAGUUUUAAAGACUAAGAAGAUUUUUAUUUGCUAAUAAGUGUUUGUUAAUCAAGUUGGAAUUUCGUUUUAAACAAUGCUACCAACCAGACGUACAAGCUUAGGCCGCAGAACUCGAAAUACGGCAAGUCAAAGAAAUAUAAGAGCAAAUCAAACUAAUGAGCAUCGCGAAGCGCGAAAUGAACUUGAACUGAAUCGAUAUCAAGAUAGAAAUGUUGUGUUUAAUCCAGUGCCUGUUGAAGACUAUACAUUUUUGCAAAUAUAUUUUAUGGACAAUUCAGCAAGAGAAGUCGAUCAGCGUUGCGCACACAACAACUCAGUAAAGAGAUCCAUUGUGAUGAACAACUUCAAACAUUUUUCCUUCAACACAAUGAAUUAGUUGCAUUAGACCGAUGCAUUAGACCGCAUGCCAUCAGAUAAUCACAAAAUUGUCAUCAGAGCCGAUAAGGCGCCUGCAGGACAGUGAAAUGAUUGAAUCCUAUGAAAUAAACACUAUUAUGAAAAUAUAUUUUGUUUUUUUUUAAAUUAGUGAAGUCCUUUUCAGGUAUAGUGAGAUCAGGAAAUUAUAGAUUCAUUUUUAUAUGGAGGAUAUUUAUAGAUUCCAAUUCAAAUUGAAUAGGGACUCAUACAUAACUCAGCUAUACAAAAUAAAGUAGAGCAUCAUUGCUACGCGAAAGCGGUACGAAGUUCGCUGGGUCAGCUAGUUUUUA
Molecule: long non-coding RNA, 1110 nt
Organism: Spodoptera frugiperda (fall armyworm)
Lineage: Eukaryota; Metazoa; Arthropoda; Insecta; Lepidoptera; Noctuidae
Exons: 2
Source: RefSeq, a predicted model, not a curated record